This 497-nucleotide ribosomal RNA is filed under the name uncultured bacterium. RNAcentral describes it as "partial 16S ribosomal RNA". It matches the Rfam family "Bacterial small subunit ribosomal RNA", at positions 28 to 507 of the family's 1533-position model. The record is from RNAcentral.
GAUGAACGCUGGCGGCGUGCCUAAUACAUGCCAGUCGAGCGAACAGACGAGGAGCUUGCUCCUCUGACGUCAGCGGCGGACGGGUGAGUAACACGUGGAUAACCUACCUAUAAGACUGGGAUAACUUCGGGAAACCGGAGCUAAUACCGGAUAAUAUAUUGAACCGCAUGGUUCAAUAGUGAAAGACGGUUUUGCUGUCACUUAUAGAUGGAUCCGCGCCGCAUUAGCUAGUUGGUAAGGUAACGGCUUACCAAGGCGACGAUGCGUAGCCGACCUGAGAGGGUGAUCGGCCACACUGGAACUGAGACACGGUCCAGACUCCUACGGGAGGCAGCAGUAGGGAAUCUUCCGCAAUGGGCGAAAGCCUGACGGAGCAACGCCGCGUGAGUGAUGAAGGUCUUCGGAUCGUAAAACUCUGUUAUUAGGGAAGAACAAAUGUGUAAGUAACUAUGCACGUCUUGACGGUACCUAAUCAGAAAGCCACGGCUAACUACGUG